UACGGAGGAUGCAAGCGUUAUCCGGAUUUAUUGGGUUUAAAGGGUGCGUAGGCGGAUAUGUAAGUCAGCGGUGAAACUCACAGGCUCAACCUGUGCCGUGCCGUUGAAACUGUGUAUCUGGAAUGCGGAUGCUGUGGGAGGAAUGUGCAGUGUAGCGGUGAAAUGCAUAGAUAUUACACAGAACACCGAUUGCGAAGGCAGCUUACUAAUCCAUCAUUGACGCUGAGGCACGAAAGCGUGGGGAU
Molecule: ribosomal RNA, 245 nt
Filed under: uncultured prokaryote
Description: partial 16S ribosomal RNA
Rfam family: Bacterial small subunit ribosomal RNA
Source: RNAcentral